Caenorhabditis elegans is the source of this 21-nucleotide non-coding RNA. The record is from Ensembl. Lineage: Eukaryota; Metazoa; Nematoda; Chromadorea; Rhabditida; Rhabditidae.
UGAAAGAACGGAAGGAUUUGU